RNAcentral lists this ribosomal RNA (363 nucleotides) under Triticum aestivum (bread wheat). Its description in RNAcentral is "partial small subunit ribosomal RNA". Lineage: Eukaryota; Viridiplantae; Streptophyta; Magnoliopsida; Poales; Poaceae. The record is from RNAcentral.
GGGGAUGCACGUAUAGUCUCUGCAGAUGCUAGUGCACCAAAUCCAAAUGACUUGUUGAGUACUGCACGCCUAAAGAAAAAGGAGGUUCAAACAAAAACUUCAAAACGCAAAAGAAAUUGGUUGGAUAAGAAGCACAAGGCUAGGAAAAAGAGACAAAGCAAAGCUACAUCACAGGUUGGGGAAGUGGCAUGUAAUGAUGGUGCAUAUGUUCAAUCGGCACAUAUUUCUAUGAUGCAAGAGGUUGGUGAAGGGGCAUGUAAUGCUGGUGCACAAGUACAAGCACAUAUCAUAGAUGAUAGUGUUUCUGGGGACAAAGGGGCAUAUAGUACUGAUUACAAUAUCAAUUUUAGCUGCACUCAAUUG